Long non-coding RNA from Uranotaenia lowii, 409 nucleotides. RefSeq lists it as uncharacterized. The transcript is spliced from 2 exons. The record is from RefSeq and is a predicted model, not a curated record. Lineage: Eukaryota; Metazoa; Arthropoda; Insecta; Diptera; Culicidae.
AAUUCGGGACUUCGGAAUCAGUUUUUGUCGCGAAGGCUGACCACGAAGGUUGUCACAAGUUGUUAAAAUAAAAGGAAAUAAACAAAACAAAUCGGUGCAAAAUGAAAUUCUUGUUUGCGAUCGCUUGCGUUUUUGCUCUGGUGCUGGCCGUUGCGCUCGCCAUGCCGGCCGUCAACGACGAGAGCAUCAUUGCCGUUCCCUCGGACGCCAUGCUGAUGAACGAAGCCGAAAAUCCUCAGGACCCCCAGCAAACCUUCGGACUGUUGCUGCUCAAGAAGAAGCUGCUGCUGUUGGGAUAAGCGAAUGGGUUGGUUUUUUUUUGUCAAAACCUUUUGAAAACUUGAAUUCGAAUUGAAAAUGAUUGGAAUAUCGUUAUGACUGCUGAAUAUUUAAAUAACUCGUCCUAUGA